CAGCCGCGGUAAUCCAGCUCCAAUAGCGUAUAUUAAAGUUGUUGCAGUUAAAAAGCUCGUAGUUGAACUUCGGGGUUUACUUAUUGGUCAGGCUUAAUUGUCUGUACUGGUAAGAUGAAUCUCUACCUUCUGAGGAACUUUCAUGUCAUUUAUUUGGUGUGAUUGGAAAUCAGGACUGUUACUUUGAAAAAAUUAGAGUGUUUAAAGCAGGCUAACGUCUGAAUACAUUAGCAUGGAAUAAUGAAAUAGGACGGACUGAUUCUAUUUCGUUGGUUUCUAGGAUCACCGUAAUGAUUAAUAGGGAUAGUUGGGGGCAUUAGUAUUCAAUUGUCAGAGGUGAAAUUCUUGGAUUUAUUGAAGACUAACUACUGCGAAAGCAUUUGCCAAGGAUGUUUUCAUUAAUCAAGAACGAAAGUUAGGGGAUCGAAGACGAUCAGAUACCGUCGUAGUCUUAACCAUAAACUAUGCCGACUAGGGAUCGGACGAAGUUAAUUUUAUAAUGACGCGUUCGGCACCUUACG
Molecule: ribosomal RNA, 521 nt
Filed under: uncultured Diversispora
Lineage: Eukaryota; Fungi; Glomeromycota; Glomeromycetes; Diversisporales; Diversisporaceae
Description: SSU rRNA
Rfam family: Eukaryotic small subunit ribosomal RNA
Source: RNAcentral